Frieseomelitta varia is the source of this 9703-nucleotide RNA transcript. It is a transcript of the gene named kinesin light chain, with no coding region annotated. The record is from RefSeq and is a predicted model, not a curated record. The transcript has 8 exons. Lineage: Eukaryota; Metazoa; Arthropoda; Insecta; Hymenoptera; Apidae.
GAAUUAAACGCGAUUCCGCGAGGGUGCCCCCCUUUAGAAAUCACAUUGCGGAACACACUAUAGUGUAUAUAGAUAUAUAUGUAUAUUGUACAUAUUCUAUUUUUAUACGGUUGAAAAAACGGGAUAAAUGACUUUUUUACAACAGAUUCGAUUGACUGAGAGUGACAAUACGGUCGCGACUGUCCGCAAAGAAACGGCAGACAGAUCGAUAUAGUAGAAAGUUAAAUUUUUUUUGUAUACGGAUUAGGUAGGUCCAACAGAGUCCAACAUUACCGAUGGGUAGAACAGAUAUGUCAAAAACGCUGAACGCUUAUAGAAUCAAAAAAAUAGAAAAUAUUGGUAGAAUGACGGCCAUGACGCAGGAAGAAAUUAUGGCUGGUGCCAGAAUUGUGGCCCAGGGUCUGGAAGCCCUCCGCGUUGAGCACGGGGGACUUCUGCAAGCCCUACAGACCCAGGACGCACCAGUCGCAAGAGAUAAAGCCAGCUUGUUGUCAAAGAAUAUUGAGAUGAUAGAGUUGGGCCUGGGUGAGGCACAGGUCAUGAUGGCUCUUGCGAACCACCUACAAAUGGUAGAGGCUGAGAAACAAAAACUUAGGACGCAAGUGAGAAGGUUGUGCCAAGAGAACGCCUGGUUGAGAGAUGAAUUGGCUGGAACGCAGCAAAAAUUACAAGCCAGUCAGCAAGCACUAGUCCAGUUGGAAGAACAGAAGAAACAUUUAGAUUUUAUGGAGAGUAUAAAGCAAUACGAUCCUGAUCCUUCUGCUGAUGACGAGAAUGCUAAAGAUCGGCCACCGGAUGAUCCUGUGGUCGAUCUAUUCCCUGACGAUGAUGCGGACGACCGAAACAGUAAGUCCAUUUUACCAACACCGCCUUCGCAAUUUGCACAACAAGUAAACGCUGGAUAUGAGAUACCUGCGCGCUUGCGUACGCUGCAUAAUUUGGUUAUACAGUACGCAAGCCAAGGUCGUUAUGAGGUGGCUGUCCCUUUGUGUAAGCAAGCGUUGGAAGAUUUGGAAAAAACUUCUGGUCACGACCAUCCCGAUGUCGCCACGAUGUUGAACAUCCUUGCUUUAGUAUAUAGAGACCAAAAUAAAUAUAAAGAAGCAGCAAAUUUAUUGAACGACGCCUUAGCUAUUCGUGAAAAAACACUGGGUGAAAAUCACCCUGCAGUCGCUGCUACGUUGAACAAUUUGGCUGUUUUAUAUGGAAAGCGGGGCAAAUACAAAGAAGCUGAGCCGUUGUGUAAACGCGCUCUUGAUAUCCGAGAGAAGGUUCUCGGACGUGAUCACCCUGACGUCGCGAAGCAGUUGAAUAACCUCGCGUUGCUUUGCCAGAAUCAGGGUAAAUACGAAGAGGUGGAACGCUAUUACUUGCGAGCACUAGAGAUCUACGAAGGCAAACUUGGACCGGACGAUCCUAAUGUUGCGAAAACGAAAAACAAUCUGGCAUCGUGUUACUUGAAACAAGGAAAGUACAAGGAUGCGGAAGUUUUGUACAAACAAGUAUUGACCAGAGCACACGAGAAAGAGUUUGGUGCUAUAGCCGGCGACAACAAGCCAAUCUGGCAGGUUGCUGAAGAAAGGGAAGAGAAUAAACAUAGAAAUAAAGAGAAUGCUCCAUACGGAGAAUACGGAGGUUGGCACAAAGCUGCUAAAGUGGAUUCACCUACAGUCACGACUACUCUAAAGAAUCUUGGUGCACUGUAUCGAAGACAAGGAAAAUACGAGGCAGCGGAAACUUUAGAAGAUUGCGCUCUCAGAUCACGAAAAGAGACAUUGGAGUUCGUGAAGCAAGGGAAAGUCGCGCAAAUUUUAGGGGAAGAAAAAGGAUCGACGAGACGCGGCUCGCGAUCCAGCUUGGCAAACAGCGAACACGAACAACAUGACGAGGGCUCGCUGCCGCUGGUACAAAGGGCGCUACAUGAAGGACAGUCCGGCCACAACGACGCUAGUCCUAACAAACCCGGUUUUAAAAACAAGAUCUUCCAAGCUUUCGGGAUUCAUUCUUCCACGUAGGAUAUUCUUCGUUUGUAGUAUUGCCUCGUUCGAUUUAUGCCCGGUUGCACGGUGAUUUUCGGUGUAUGUCGCAUCGAAAAGUCUAUAUUUCUAGAACGAAGAUGAAUUUAAAAGAUGCGUCUGUUUGGGAGAAGUUAUAUUUAGGUAUCCGUUUUUAAAUUUCACGAUAGUGUAACACGCUGAGGAAUUCGCGAUCUUUUGCAAACUGUCUUGAACAAUUCCUCUCAAAUGCAAGCAUUUAUAGGAAUUUAUACAUUUUUUGGACAUAGGUACGGGCCUUUGACAAUUUUUUGGGCAUUUUGAUAUACUGCUUUUCUCGCAGCCAGAUAUCUCCUAAUUGACAAUGACGACAGCACAUCAUAACUGCACAUUCUUUUACUAUACGAGUAUUUCCAUAAUUGUUCGUUACUAUUUCCAUUUGCUUCUCUUUUCUUAUCUGAAGUAUCACGUAGAAAAACCAUACAGUCUUUUAUAAAUCACUUCCACUUGUAAGCUGUGAUAACGAUGCCCUUUCAUUAAUUUCUCUACGUCUUGUUUUCGUCGAAUUUUGGUUUUCAAGUGAAAUAUCGAGGAUAUUUUUUUAAAAGAAAGAAAAAACCGAUAGGUGCUUUCUACGAAGCAUUUUAUUUUUUACCACAUUGCAUUAUUUGUCUGUAAUUAUUAUUAUUAUUAUUAUUAACCGUUUGAAACUUUUUACGCUUUUAUUAUACACAAUCAUAUAGAAAGCAAUUAGGAUAAAUCAAUAAGCUUCCAGAGACAAUAUUAUUCAUAAUGAAAUUACACGCGUUGAUCGUUUCACGUGUUUAGAACGAUAAAACAAUUUUUUAUGCUCGAGCUAUAUUUUUUCUUGUAAGCCAGACCAUUGUGAAACACGCACACGAAUUACAAAGUAGUCAAUACUAGCAGCGGCUUUUGCUUAACUAUAUAGCUCAGUAUAGAUUUGCAAAGGUGAUGAUUUCAUGAUGAUCAAUGUGCAGAGAAGUUUAAUAAUCUAUCUAACAAUUUGCAGUUCAACGAUGCGAAGAAUUGUUUUCUGUAACAGGUUGUCCUUGCGAUACUCUCGUAUAGUUUUUAAAUUUUUAACAUCAGAGAAGACAAUUCUCUUCAGAUCCCCGGGAUGACUCGAGUCAUCGCUUUACAUCAAUUUACAUUCGCUUCUUUAUUCUACUAUAAUUAACAUGAGUUUAAUCUUACGUAUUUUCCUCAUUCUUUAUAAAGAAAAGAAACAUUUCAUCUGGCGUAGGAUCACAUUUGAUCCUAUAUUUUUAACACGAUGUGAGGUGUCUCGAAGUUUCUUCAAUGUUUUUAACAUUUCUCUUCGAAAAGUAUUACGUACUUGUUAAGGAUGCAAUUCGUGUUGUAUGUAUUUAUUUACAUAUAUAUGUAUGUUUUUAUUUUAAAACUAUUCUCAUUUGUGUAGCAAAUGAUUAUUAUGUUAAAUUAUUAUGACUAUUAUAUUAUAUUUAAAAAAAAUAGAUCUCAAGAGCAUGCGUUUAAGAAAAAGACUUUCUUGUUCGGGACACCUUGUAUCCCAUUUUUUUUAUCUCUCUUUAUUAAUCUCUAACUGCGUUCUAAACGUCGAAUCUUUCUAUUCAGAUGUGAAAGAAGGAUAAACGAAUAAAAAUGUCCUGUUAUCAUUCGAUUGUAUGUGGUACAAUAUUUUCUGAACUUCGUCGAUUAGCUAUUACGAAAGCUGGAUUAUUUAAUAUAAGUAGUGCCUUGAGACUUCAACGAGUGAAUGAAUAAAUUAUUUUUUAACUGAACAUGGUUGUUCCUGGUUGUCACUCGAUUAUGUGUAUGGGUUUCUCGUGUACCAUGGAGUUAUAAUCCUUAUCACAUUCUGUGUCACACUCUCUUUCUCUCUCUCUCUCUCUCUUUGUGUGUUUCCCUUUUAUUUGUUACAUAGUCAAUCCCAUAUGUAGGGGACACCACCCUUGUAUGAAAUCAAGAAUGCGUACAUGGUUUGCAUUAUUAAUAUGUCCUCGCACGUCAUUUGUGUUUUUUUUUUUAACCACCAUUGUUAUCAGUCGUUUUUCGAUAUCUGCGUUGUCGUUUUGUUUCGCUUUGAUUUGAGUACUCUGCGGGCCGGGACUUAGAUAAAAGGAUGUCACUUCUGGAGUACGAUUUACCGGUCUGGACAUCAAAAUACCGGGACGAAACUAGACCGGGUCUCUGUAGCAGGACCGGAAGUAUUACGUUCGUGCGCAAUAAAGGGAUACCCUGUAAGAGAGCUAUACGCGAAACGAUAACGCCAGGAUGAUAAAAAAAAAAAAAGAAAGAAAAAAACGGGCUCUGCAUUGUUUAAUCGAAACAUUGACUGACGUCCGUUCUAUCUGAAUCGUUUAACGUGUAACAGCACAUUCCAGCUGCUUUUCUCAAUCAAUCAGACGCACCGUAAAAAACAGAAGUACUCCAUGUUGCUGCUCGUGCUCGAUACACGGGAAUUACGGCUUCGUGCAUUCUAGCGACUGACCUGUUUUUGGAAUAGAAAAGAAAACGGAAAAAAGAAAAGGAGAAAUGAACAGAAUGUUCGCAAGGCGAAUUGGUCUAUCCCGCUUCGUACGUGUAUCUGAAUCAAAAAUCCGAAUUCAAGCUAAUCAUACUUUUUUUUUGUUUUGUUUCUCUUACGUUCUACAUAUUUUUGAUCUUCUCGAAUGGCAGAAGAGAUUCAUCGCAGUGAAGCUACGUUGACCUAACGGAAAGUAAGAAAAAUCGCCGACGUUACCCGAUUCUUUCCUCGCAUUGUACAGGAAAAAAAAAAAAGAAACGACGAACGAGUUUUCUUCUCAUUAUACGUCCAUACUUGCAUCUAUAUGCAUCUAAUCAGGCCGUACACGCGUAUACAUAUCCCUUUCACGGAUCACUAUAUCAUACCGAAGACUACGUGUAAUCAUUCCACGAGCUGUGUUGCUUCUUUGGAUCGAGACGCGCUCGGAUAGACUGAAGAAGAAAAAAAAAAAAAAAAGGCAGUCACAUUUAAACAUAGGGGGAACAUUUGUAUGUCGCUUAGCAUUAUUGAAUGUAUUCUUACAAACACACCACCCACGGAUAUACAAACACGAGAACACACACACAUACACCACGUGCACGUUAGAAUAAAUAUAUUCAUCGUCAUAUUAACGAUUGUAACAAGAUAAAAAGGGAGAGAACCGCGCGUUUCCCUUUACCUUUCGUGUCUCAGAGUUCAAUUGUGCAAAUGAUAAUGUAUAAAUGGUAGUGGAGAGGUCCAAUCUGCCCGGCGACGUUUGAUUUCUCUGUCUUAUAUUUAUAAAUAAUUGUACGCUGAAGUACUUAUACGUCAUACAUUAUGUCAUACGUACUCACAGAUAUUUAAUUUAUUCAUUAUAAAGUUUGAUUCGUUGUUUGAACGACGACGUUAAUGCAGACAUGAUGGAUAUUAUACGUUGUAUUAUAAGCUCGUGAUUGUUUAAAUUAUUUCGAAGCGGAGCGAGUGUGGGAAAUUUGUUAUCGUUCUUCUUGUUUCUUUUCAAUUUUACAAGAACGCAUGGAACGAGGAUUUCUUCUUGUAGCAAAAUUUAUAAAAUUAACGCGCUUUGAACAUCGUUAUUGCCAUUUAAAGCCAAAAAUCAUAUGACCGGCUGUGAAUUGAAAAAAAAAAAAUCUGAGCCUGAGAAAUCCUUUAAUCGUUGAGCAGUUACGACGACGAUAGAAUGAUAAUCGUUUGAAUUAGUCGAGUCCUUACGGUACACGUACUUGAGCUUUGUUUAAAGACCUCACGUUUUCGUUUUCGAACGAAAUAUCGCAUUCAGCAUCAAUUUUAUGCAACACAUGUGUCACUUGUAAACUCUUUUAAUUGCGAAACCAGUUGCUACAAUGGCUGAUCGUUGUACCACUCUGUUACAUUCAGUCGCUAUAGUAAUUGUAGUCUAUUCUAUAGCCACUCGGUGAACAGAAUUACACGAACAAGCAUGGAAAUCAUUAUCGCGAGUGUUUAACAAUCAAUGCAUAUUGUAAUUGCAAAUACAACGCAAAGUAAUUAUUAUAGUUGCCGAUGGAAAGCAACUUUAAUCAGUUAUACAUACAUAGAAAAUGUUACGGCAGAUAAAGUAGCGAAUGUAAUCUAUCACGCGACGUAUUUUCAUCACUGCAUGGUGACAACGAACGAAAUAAUCUCGCAGAAAGUUAUUGAUUAAUUAUUAUUGUAUUAUUAUAAUACUUAUUGCAUCAAAAUAACGUAUUAAAUUGAAGAAAAAAAAGAGCAACUUUCGCGCGGUGGCCGCUUGCUUGUUACAAGCACUUGCUUUGAAGUCUUGCUUGUUUACAAGACUCUAUUCGCAUAUAUGCGAGCGUUGAAUAACUAAGAGAAAAUUAAAAAAAAAUUUUUCGAAAUAGAAGAAGUUUUCGCAGAAGCUUUAUUAACGUGAGUUCUAUUGGACUGGCCUAGUUCAAAAGAUUUACGAUUACACCUUGGAUAUCUUGGUGUACAGGAAUCAUUUACAGUCGUAGCGACGAUAUGGUUUUAUGAUUUCGUGCAAUUUUCCAAUCAUUCUUUUCUUUUUUCUUUUUUUUUUUACUCGAGGCUACGGAAUACGACCUUGGUGUUCAAUCCUGCGUUCAUCGACGAUGAUUAUUAAUCGUUUCUUCAAAUGAUCGUUCGUUCCCUCUCUGUCAUUAAUUAUUCAUUCUCGUAGUACGUCAUUUUUUUCAUUUAAGUUUUCAUGUGUGCUCUCAUUGCCUCGGAAACGAACAUGCAUUUAUUGAACAUACGCUACCAUAUAAUGCGCCUGAGAGCUUGAAGGCCUAGGGUUAGUCGUUUUUACUCAGCUUUGGAUUUUUAUUUAUUUCUUCGUUCUUCACGAUUGCCCUUAACACUGCACGGCGUAGCGUACUCGAAGAAUAAUUCUUUUUUCACAGUUCAGCAGCUGGAUUUUAACUGGUAUUUUUAAGUGCAAUCCGCGUGCAAUCGAAUUAAGAUUUCUCUAUGUAAACUUGCACUACUAUGUGUAUUUAUACAUUUGUCUUAAUUCUUAUUCUUUGCUUAAACUUUACGCACUUAUUUGUACGAAAUCUGUAAUCUGAAUGUUUAAUUGUUAAGCAUUAAUUUUAAGCUAAAACUUUUUUAAUUCUGGUAAUUUAUUUUUAGAUCUUAUUCGGCAAAAAUCUUGUAUAUAGUGAGCGGCAAAAGACACGUGUAAAUUUUUAAUCGCUUUUAUUCACGAUUUUUAAUCCUCGUUAAAUACUUUUUAAUAAUUUUAUUCUUUUGGAACAAAAGGGAUUAUCGUAGUUUCUUAAGGAAAUUUAUUUUUUGAGUGAAUUUCAAAUGGGUUGUAGAUCAACGUUAAUCGAUGAUCUACUUCAUAGUCGAGCUAUAGUUGUGAUAAUAUUAGGAAUAAAGUUUUUUCGUCCCCCACUUAUCGUCGAAAGUAGUCGCUUUAUUUUGUAAAUUGUUUAAGGUAUUGCAGCUCUCAGGUGCAAGUACUGUUAUUUAAAUAAUAUGUAAGUUUUGAUUUAUAAUAAAUAUUUCCACUUGUAAUCCUUGUUCGUAUGUCUCCUUCGCGUGGAAAGCAUCCGAGUGUUCCUUAUCGUAUAAUGAAUUCCAAAAGAUUAAGCAUUUGAAUAACAUUAUUAUUAUUGUAUUCGUGUUUUGGAAUUUUAUUAAAAUUUCGUUGGUAACAGACCCUCGUUUAUUUUUUUCUUUUUUUUUUCUCUUGGUUCUGUAUCUUCUACUCUUCGUUUCUCCCUCAUGUAGUUUUCAAACAUUGCAUUUUUUCAUAGUGUCGAGCUUGUUCAACUUUAUCAAUUUCUUAUUUAUCAAAAGUAAUAAUAGAUAAAGAAUUUCAUAUUAAAAAAUAUAAAAAUCCUUUUUCUGUUUUUCUCAUUAAGUCGUGUAACUUUGAUUGACAAACAAUUAAAAAAUGAAGGAUACAUUUCACAAGGAGGAUUUAUUAAUAAUCUUAUUAUGGAAAUAACUUUUAUGAAUAGAAUUUUAACAUGAAAUUCUUCGUUCAUUCCGUUUAUUAAUCGUAAUUACUGCAAAUCUAGGAAAAGAAGAAAUUUUUAUAAAAUUAAUACGAAAUUCUUCAUCCUUACUUAGAGUAAUUAUUUCUAUUUGCACUGUGUGCCUUUGUACUCUAAUAUUAAAAUAAAGAGAACUUGUAAGUAUAAAUAGAACUAUUCUUUAUGGAGUUUCUUGUUCUUUUUAUUCUUACAAGUUUCUUUUGCAUAAUUUACUAUUAGAGCAUACAAAUAGGAACAGGUAUACUAAUAUGUAGAUAGUUAUGCUUAAUUUUUGAUUUUAGUAGAAAUUCACUAAUCUAAUCAUUUGUAGCUCAGAUUACGCUACUUCAUACAAUAAUAUCACAAGCUGAUAAGAUUGGUCGGUUAUUUAUAACAUCACAAACGGAGCUAUAAAUACCGAUAGUCUGUUCACCGAUAAUGUUUCGUCCAUCAUCUUGAUUGCCAGACGGCACAAAUGCGCGCUCUUAUAAAUACCAAAUGAAAGAUUUCGAUGCAAAUGUAACACACAUUUGCAUCGUCGGUGCUAUUGUUAACUUCGUAAUCAUCUUCUUCUCCUGGUACAAAUCUAUUUCUUUAAUCACGCGAUCGUUACACUCGCAGAACACUGCAAAAACAAAAAACGAAUGAAAUGAGAAACAAGACAAUAGUGAGCAUAAUUUUCGCUGCGUACGAGAUUUUAUUACAUAAUUAUUCGUGAGACUGCAUCAGCCAUUUGUUCCAUCCACUGUUUCGAAUUAUAGAAAAGUUUUUAUUGAGCAUAGUGUUACACGUUACAAUAAGUAAUGAUAAUCAAUAAUCGUAAUAAAGAAUGAGAAUAAUCGAUAAUCAAUGAUAUUACCUUAUCUGUUCUUUCUUUUUUUUUUUUUCUCUCUCUUUUCUUCUUUUCAACAAGUAGAAACUAUCACGUGAAAAGUUACAUUUAUAAAAGGGUAAUAGACAGACAGACAGACAGACAGGUAGAACAUAGAGAUGGAGAGAGAGAAAACGGUACCCUUUUACAAACUUCUGAUUUGUAUCGGCUUGACUAGCAUAUUAGAAGCAUUAACGUUACAAGUUAAUCGUAAUCAAUUAGAUUCGAUGAGAGGGGUUGUGUGGUGGGGAGGGAGAGAAGGGGUCGAAAGCACGUUUAAUGCGAAGAGGGGAGGGGGCGGGAUAUUAUUAAUUACGACAUUACAGGUAUUAAAAAUUCGCUUCGUAAUAAAUUAGAUACGACAUAUAAAGGAGAAAUUUAUACAUUUAUAAAUCGCUAAGUAAUUAUUAUUGUUACACGUACUCGUCGAGGGGCUACACAUACACCGUGUUACUUCUCAUCCUUUUCUUUUUUCCAUCUUUUCUUUCCCCCCCUUUUUUUUUUGCCCGUUUCCUCGUUAAGAGACAAUAAUAACAAUUGCAAGGCUGAUUUGUACGAGAGUUUCAUAGUAGUAAAAUAUUCGCUCCACGACUUACCCUCCCAACCCUUAUAUCUCAACCUCCGUGCAAACCUCCAAAAACACACACACACACACCGCAACGUGUGACGAAGAACUCUUGCUUUCGUUAUUCGAUUGUUCAUUUCUGGAGAGAGAGAGUGAGAGUGUGAGAGAGAUAGAUAGAGAGUGAGAUUAAUUAGUUCCACAGCCUUUUAUAAUAAUAUUUAGGUGAGCAAAUCAGCCUGGCAGAUUCGGAGAAAGGAAGAAGCGACACGCGCGCUUGUACACACACGCGACACA